GAUGAACGCUGGCGGCGUGCUUAACACAUGCAAGUCGAACGGAAAGGCCCAAGCUUGCUUGGGUACUCGAGUGGCGAACGGGUGAGUAACACGUGGGUGAUCUGCCCUGCACUUCGGGAUAAGCCUGGGAAACUGGGUCUAAUACCGGAUAGGACCACAUUUUGGAUGGUGUGGUGGAAAGUUUUUCGGUGUGGGAUGAGCUCGCGGCCUAUCAGCUUGUUGGUGGGGUAAUGGCCUACCAAGGCGUCGACAGGUAGCCGGCCUGAGAGGGUGUACGGCCACAUUGGGACUGAGAUACGGCCCAGACUCCUACGGGAGGCAGCAGUGGGGAAUAUUGCACAAUGGGCGCAAGCCUGAUGCAGCGACGCCGCGUGGGGGAUGACGGCCUUCGGGUUGUAAACUCCUUUCGCUAGGGACGAAGCGUUUUUGUGACGGUACCUGGAGAAGAAGCACCGGCUAACUACGUG
RNAcentral lists this ribosomal RNA (467 nucleotides) under uncultured bacterium. RNAcentral's name for it is "partial 16S ribosomal RNA". It matches the Rfam family "Bacterial small subunit ribosomal RNA", at positions 28 to 507 of the family's 1533-position model. The record is from RNAcentral.